RNAcentral lists this ribosomal RNA (2474 nucleotides) under Clostridium perfringens. RNAcentral describes it as "partial 23S ribosomal RNA". It matches the Rfam family "Bacterial large subunit ribosomal RNA", at positions 424 to 2911 of the family's 2925-position model. Lineage: Bacteria; Bacillati; Bacillota; Clostridia; Eubacteriales; Clostridiaceae. The record is from RNAcentral.
ACGUGAAACCUUGUGGGAAGCAGGGAGGACCACCUCCCAAGGCUAAAUACUACCUGAUGACCGAUAGUGAAGCAGUACCGUGAGGGAAAGGUGAAAAGAACCCCGGGAGGGGAGUGAAAUAGAACCUGAAACCGUGUGCCUACAACCGCUCAGAGCCCCUUAUGAGGGUGAUGAGGUGCUUUUUGUAGAACGAGCCAACGAGUUACGGUAUGUAGCAAGGUUAAGUACUUAAGGUACGGAGCCGAAGGGAAACCGAGUCUGAAUAGGGCGACUAGUUGCAUGCCGUAGACCCGAAACCGGGUGACCUAUCCAUGGCCAGGUUGAAGCGAGGGUAAAACCUCGUGGAGGACCGAACCACGUUGCUGUUGAAAAAGCAUGGGAUGAGCUGUGGAUAGCGGAGAAAUUCCAAUCGAACCCGGAGAUAGCUGGUUCUCUCCGAAAUAGCUUUAGGGCUAGCGUCGAGUAUGAGUAGUGGAGGUAGAGCACUGAAUGGGCUAGGGGGCAUAGCGCUUACCGAACCUUAUCAAACUCCGAAUGCCACAUACUUUGAGCUCGGCAGUCAGACUACGAAUGAUAAGAUCCGUGGUCAAAAGGGAAACAGCCCAGAUCGUCAGCUAAGGUCCCAAAGUGUAAGUUAAGUGGGAAAGGAUGUGAGAUUUCUAAGACAACUAGGAUGUUGGCUUAGAAGCAGCCAUUCAUUAAAAGAGUGCGUAAUAGCUCACUAGUCGAGAGAUCUUGCGCCGAAAAUGUAACGGGGCUAAACUUACCACCGAAGCUACGGGCUUGAACUUAGUUCAAGCGGUAGGAGAGCGUCGUAACCGGGCUGAAGUCGUACCGUAAGGAGCGGUGGACUGGUUACGAGUGAGAAUGUUGGCAUCAGUAGCGAGAUGUGGGUGAGAAUCCCACAGGCCGAAAACCUAAGGUUUCCUCAGGAAGGUUCGUCCGCUGAGGGUUAGUCGGGACCUAAGCCGAGGCCGAAAGGCGUAGGUGAUGGACAACUGGUUGAUAUUCCAGUACCACUACCAUCGUUAUUAUCGAUGGCGUGACGCAGGAGGAUAGUGUGUGCUAGCUAUUGGAUGCUAGUCUAAGCGUUUAGGCAGUGAGAGUAGGCAAAUCCGCUCUCAUAAUGCUGAGGCGUGAUGGGGAAGGUUCUACGGAACCGAAGUACAUGAUUCCACGCUGCCAAGAAAAGCGUCUAGAGAGAGAAGUAGUGCCCGUACCGCAAACCGACACAGGUAGGUGAGGAGAGAAUCCUAAGGCCGGCGGAAGAAUUACAGUUAAGGAACUCGGCAAAUUGACCCCGUAAGUUCGCGAGAAGGGGUGCCUACGAGAGUAGGCCGCAGAGAAUAGGCCCAAGCAACUGUUUAGCAAAAACACAGGUCUCUGCUAAAGCGUAAGCUGAUGUAUAGGGGCUGACGCCUGCCCGGUGCUGGAAGGUUAAGGGGAACACUUAGCGCAAGCGAAGGUGUGAACUUAAGCCCCAGUAAACGGCGGCCGUAACUAUAACGGUCCUAAGGUAGCGAAAUUCCUUGUCAGGUAAGUUCUGACCCGCACGAAUGGCGUAAUGACUUGGGCACUGUCUCAACUGUAAAUCCGGCGAAGUUGUAGUGCGAGUGAAGAUGCUCGCUACCCGCGAUUGGACGGAAAGACCCCGUAGAGCUUUACUGUAGCUUAGCAUUGAGUUUUGGUAUUGUCUGUACAGGAUAGGUGGGAGACUAGGAAACCAGGGCGUCAGCCUUGGUGGAGUCAACCUUGGGAUACCACCCUGACAGUACUGAAAUUCUAACUGGCGGCCAUGAAUCUGGUCACAGGACAUUGUUAGGUGGGCAGUUUGACUGGGGCGGUCGCCUCCUAAAAAGUAACGGAGGCGCCCAAAGGUUCCCUCAGAACGGUCGGAAAUCGUUCGAAGAGUGCAAAGGCAGAAGGGAGCCUGACUGCGACACCCACAAGUGGAGCAGGGACGAAAGUCGGGCUUAGUGAUCCGGUGGUACCUCGUGGGAGGGCCAUCGCUCAACGGAUAAAAGCUACCUCGGGGAUAACAGGCUGAUCUCCCCCAAGAGUCCACAUCGACGGGGAGGUUUGGCACCUCGAUGUCGGCUCGUCGCAUCCUGGGGCUGAAGUAGGUCCCAAGGGUUGGGCUGUUCGCCCAUUAAAGCGGCACGCGAGCUGGGUUCAGAACGUCGUGAGACAGUUCGGUCCCUAUCCGUCGCGGGCGUAGGAAAUUUGAGAGGAGCUGUCCUUAGUACGAGAGGACCGGGAUGGACUGACCUCUGGUGUACCAGUUGUUCCGCCAGGAGCACAGCUGGGUAGCUAAGUCGGGAAUGGAUAAACGCUGAAAGCAUCUAAGCGUGAAGCCAACCUCAAGAUGAGAUUUCCCAUAGCGUAAGCUAGUAAGAUCCCUUGAAGAACACAAGGUUGAUAGGUCGGGGGUGUAAGCAUGGUAACAUGUUCAGCUGACCGAUACUAAUAGAUCG